GGGAGGCUUUCAUGGNCAGUCGAGGGGCAUCGGGAGGGAAGCUUACUUUCCUUGCCGGCGACCGGCGCACGGGUGAGUAACACGUAUGCAACCUGCCCUCUUCAGGGGGACAACCUUCCGGAAGGGAGGCUAAUCCCGCGUAUAUCGGUUUCGGGCAUCCGUUAUCGAGGAAAGAUUCAUCGGAAGAGGAUGGGCAUGCGGCGCAUUAGCUAGACGGCGGGGUAACGGCCCACCGUGGCGACGAUGCGUAGGGGUUCUGAGAGGAAGGUCCCCCACACUGGUACUGAGACACGGACCAGACUCCUACGGGAGGCAGCAGUGAGGAAUAUUGGUCAAUGGGAGAGAUCCUGAACCAGCCAAGCCGCGUGAGGGAAGAUGGCCCUAUGGGUUGUAAACCUCUUUUGUCGGAGAACAAAACCCGGGACGUGUCCCGGACUGCGUGUAUCCGAAGAAAAAGCAUCGGCUAACUCCGUGCCAGCAGCCGCGGUAAUACGGAGGAUGCGAGCGUUAUCCGGAUUUAUUGGGUUUAAAGGGUGCGUAGGCGGUCUGUUAAGUCAGCGGUAAAAUUGCGGGGCUCAACCCCGUCGAGCCGUUGAAACUGGCAGACUUGAGUUGGCGAGAAGUACGCGGAAUGCGCGGUGUAGCGGUGAAAUGCAUAGAUAUCGCGCAGAACUCCGAUUGCGAAGGCGGCGUACCGGCGCCAGACUGACGCUGAGGCACGAAAGCGUGGGGAUCGAACAGGAUUAGGUA
RNAcentral lists this ribosomal RNA (750 nucleotides) under uncultured bacterium. RNAcentral describes it as "bacterial SSU rRNA". It matches the Rfam family "Bacterial small subunit ribosomal RNA", at positions 41 to 784 of the family's 1533-position model. The record is from RNAcentral.